RNAcentral lists this long non-coding RNA (985 nucleotides) under Gallus gallus (chicken). Its description in RNAcentral is "lncRNA (ENSGALG00010000398.1)". Lineage: Eukaryota; Metazoa; Chordata; Aves; Galliformes; Phasianidae. The record is from RNAcentral.
GGGGGGAUCGCCUCAUUUCGGGGGGGGGGUCGCCCCACUUCGGCUCGGGGGGGUCUCCCCACUUCGGGGGGGGGGGGCGGCGGUGGGGGGGGGUCCCCCCACUUCUCCUUCAGUGCGGAAGACCUGGCGCGCUGUUUGGCCGCCCGGGUGUGCGCGUACCAUCUCAGCCCCCGCCCCUUUUUGGCCCCUCCCCCCCCCCGCCCCCCCCCCCACCCCCAUCGGGACCCCCAUCGGGACCCCCCCCCGACCCCCCCUCCCCCCCCCUUCGCCUUUAAGUUGCAGCCCCCCCCGCCCGGGAGGAGGGGGAGGGGGAAAGGAGAGGGAGGUGGGGUUACUUCGGGUCACGGGGGUACUUCCGGUCACGCGGUUACCUCGGGUCACGGGGUUACUUCGGGUGAAAGUGAGGCUUCUGGGGUUACUUCCGGUCAUGGGGUUACUGCGGGUCGCGAGGUCACUUCAGGUCAGAAUGAGGCUGGUGGGGUUACUUCCGGUCAUGGGGUCACCUCAGGUCAAGGAGAGGCUCCCGGGGUCACUUCGGGUCACGGGGUCACUUCGGGUCAAGGAGAGGCAGCUGGGGUCACGCCCGGUCACGGGGUCACUUCCGGUCAAGGGGUCACCUCAGGUCACGGCGGGGGCGAAGGCGACGGGGUCGCUCCGGGUCGCGGGAACGUCAGCCCCGGGGUCGCUUCCGGUCGAGGGGUCACUUCCGGUCCGGGGCUUCCUUCCGGCCACGGGGUCGCUUCCGGUCACGUGCACCCCUCGGCUGGCCCGGGGGGGUCCACCCCUCCCCCCACCCCACCGGAAGUGGACUCGGAGGAAGUGGAGGUCACCGACCUCAGCGAUGAGGACGACGCCGCCGCCCCCCCCCCGCCCCCCCAUCCCCGCCCACCCUCUGGAGGGGGGGGGGAGGAGGAGGGAGGAGGGGGGGGGGUCGGGGGGGGACCCCCCAAACUGCGCUUCAUGAGGAGGUGGAGGGAGGAGGGGG